GACGAACGCUGGCGGCGUGCCUAACACAUGCAAGUCGAACGGAAAGGCCCUGCUUUUGUGGGGUGCUCGAGUGGCGAACGGGUGAGUAACACGUGAGUAACCUGCCCUUGACUUUGGGAUAACUUCAGGAAACUGGGGCUAAUACCGGAUAGGAGCUCCUGCUGUAGGGUGGGGGUGGGAAAGUUUCGGCGGUUGGGGAUGUACUCGCGGCUUAUCAGCUUGUUGGUGGGGUAGUGGCUUACCAUGGCAUUGACGGGUAGCCGGCCUGGGAGGGUGACCGGCCACAUUGGGACUGAGAUACGGCCCAGACUCGUACGGGAGGCAGCAGUGGGGAAUAUUACACAAUGGGCGGAAGCCUGAUGUAGCAACGCCGCGUGCGGGAUGACGGCCUUGGGGUUGUAAACCGCUUUCGCCUGUGACGAAGCGUGAGUGACGGUAAUGGGUAAAGAAGCACCGGCUAACUACGUG
This 468-nucleotide ribosomal RNA is filed under the name uncultured bacterium. Its description in RNAcentral is "partial 16S ribosomal RNA". It matches the Rfam family "Bacterial small subunit ribosomal RNA", at positions 28 to 507 of the family's 1533-position model. The record is from RNAcentral.